RNAcentral lists this microRNA precursor (103 nucleotides) under Marmota monax (woodchuck). Lineage: Eukaryota; Metazoa; Chordata; Mammalia; Rodentia; Sciuridae. The record is from RNAcentral.
AGUAGGAAAGCUUGGUCAAAUGGCGGUUCCAUUCCAAGUUUUCUGAGGAAUUUCCAGACUGCUUUCCAAAUUGGUUGCUCCAAUUUGCAGUCCCACCAGCAAU